AUUUACGAAAAAAAGCUAUGAGGGGUUUCAAUCUGAAAAGAGACAAUUCCUUAUAGAGCAAGGACUUUUUGAGCAACGCAUGAAAGAUGUUAUACUUAGAGAGGAGAGGAAUAAGGAUAGAUUAGAGGAGCUUGAAUCAAGAGAGAAACAUUUUGAGGAUCGGUGUAGAGAGCUCAGAGAGAAGGAGAAACAGUUGAAUGGUAUUCCUAAUGUGCACUUAAAGACAGAAGCUACUGAAGAU
RNAcentral lists this long non-coding RNA (241 nucleotides) under Solanum tuberosum (potato). RNAcentral describes it as "long non-coding RNA (STUB_LNC002250)". The record is from RNAcentral. Lineage: Eukaryota; Viridiplantae; Streptophyta; Magnoliopsida; Solanales; Solanaceae.